GCUCAGAUUGAACGCUGGCGGCAGGCCUAACACAUGCAAGUCGAACGGUAACAGGAAUCAGCUUGCUGAUUCGCUGACGAGUGGCGGACGGGUGAGUAAUGUCUGGGAAACUGCCUGAUGGAGGGGGAUAACUACUGGAAACGGUAGCUAAUACCGCAUAAUGUCGCAAGACCAAAGAGGGGGACCUUCGGGCCUCUUGCCAUCGGAUGUGCCCAGAUGGGAUUAGCUUGUUGGUGGGGUAACGGCUCACCAAGGCGACGAUCCCUAGCUGGUCUGAGAGGAUGACCAGCCACACUGGAACUGAGACACGGUCCAGACUCCUACGGGAGGCAGCAGUGGGGAAUAUUGCACAAUGGGCGCAAGCCUGAUGCAGCCAUGCCGCGUGUAUGAAGAAGGCCUUCGGGUUGUAAAGUACUUUCAGCGGGGAGGAAGGGAGUAAAGUUAAUACCUUUGCUCAUUGACGUUAUCCGCAGAAGAAGCACCGGCUAACUCCGUGCCAGCAGCCGCGGUAAUACGGAGGGUGCAAGCGUUAAUCGGAAUUACUGGGCGUAAAGCGCACGCAGGCGGUUUGUUAAGUCAGAUGUGAAAUCCCCGGGCUCAACCUGGGAACUGCAUCUGAUACUGGCAAGCUUGAGUCUCGUAGAGGGGGGUAGAAUUCCAGGUGUAGCGGUGAAAUGCGUAGAGAUCUGGAGGAAUACCGGUGGCGAAGGCGGCCCCCUGGACGAAGACUGACGCUCAGGUGCGAAAGCGUGGGGAGCAAACAGGAUUAGAUACCCUGGUAGUCCACGCCGUAAACGAUGUCGACUUGGAGGUUGUGCCCUUGAGGCGUGGCUUCCGGAGCUAACGCGUUAAGUCGACCGCCUGGGGAGUACGGCCGCAAGGUUAAAACUCAAAUGAAUUGACGGGGGCCCGCACAAGCGGUGGAGCAUGUGGUUUAAUUCGAUGCAACGCGAAGAACCUUACCUGGUCUUGACAUCCACGGAAGUUUUCAGAGAUGAGAAUGUGCCUUCGGGAACCGUGAGACAGGUGCUGCAUGGCUGUCGUCAGCUCGUGUUGUGAAAUGUUGGGUUAAGUCCCGCAACGAGCGCAACCCUUAUCCUUUGUUGCCAGCGGUCCGGCCGGGAACUCAAAGGAGACUGCCAGUGAUAAACUGGAGGAAGGUGGGGACGACGUCAAGUCAUCAUGGCCCUUACGACCAGGGCUACACACGUGCUACAAUGGCGCAUACAAAGAGAAGCGACCUCGCGAGAGCAAGCGGACCUCAUAAAGUGCGUCGUAGUCCGGAUUGGAGUCUGCAACUCGACUCCAUGAAGUCGGAAUCGCUAGUAAUCGUGGAUCAGAAUGCCACGGUGAAUACGUUCCCGGGCCUUGUACACACCGCCCGUCACACCAUGGGAGUGGGUUGCAAAAGAAGUAGGUAGCUUAACCUUUGGGAGGGCGCUUACCACUUUGUGAUUCAUGACUGGGGUGAAGUCGUAACAAGGUAACCGUAGGGGAACCUGCGGUUGGAUCACCUCCUUACCUUAAAGAAGC
RNAcentral lists this ribosomal RNA (1533 nucleotides) under Shigella boydii. RNAcentral describes it as "bacterial SSU rRNA". It matches the Rfam family "Bacterial small subunit ribosomal RNA". Lineage: Bacteria; Pseudomonadati; Pseudomonadota; Gammaproteobacteria; Enterobacterales; Enterobacteriaceae. The record is from RNAcentral.